Long non-coding RNA from Vicia villosa (hairy vetch), 231 nucleotides. RefSeq lists it as uncharacterized. The transcript is spliced from 3 exons. Lineage: Eukaryota; Viridiplantae; Streptophyta; Magnoliopsida; Fabales; Fabaceae. The record is from RefSeq and is a predicted model, not a curated record.
UCAUGUUUUCUUCCAACCAAGCACGUCAAAAAUCUGGAAAAGGUUUAUGAUGAUUUUGUUUGUGGUGCCAAGAAUUUGCGCUUUAGAGUGAAGAGAUUUGUUAGGAUGCCAACUAGUGUUUUUCAAGUCAAUACUGGAAAGUCUCCUUGUGGAGAAGGUUAGAAACGAAGAAUAUUCCCAAGAUAACGAUGAAUUUUAAUAUGAUGAAGAGUCUUCAAAAUGAUUAUUAUC